CCUACGGGUGGCUGCAGUGAGGAAUAUUGGUCAAUGGCCGCAAGCCUGAACCAGCCAAGUCGCGUGAAGGACGACUGCCCUAUGGGUUGUAAACCUCUUUUAUAAAGGAAUAAUGAGUGCUACGUGUGCCCUUAUGCCUGUACCUUAUGAAUAAGCAUCGGCUAACUCCGUGCCGGCAGCCGCGGUAAUACGGAGGAUGCGAGCGUUAUCCGGAUUUAUUGGGUUUAAAGGGUGCGUAGGCGGUUUAUUAAGUUAGUGUUUAAACGUUGGGGCCUACCAUGGAUUUGCCAUUAAUACUGGAAGACUUGAGUUCAGACGAGGUAGGCGGAAUAAGUUAAGUAGCGGUGAAAUGCUUAGAUAUAACGUAGAACUCCGAUAGCGAAGGCAGCUUACUAGACUGCGACUGACGCUGAAGCACGAGAGCGUGGGUAGCGAACAGGAUUAGAUACCCCAGUAGUC
Molecule: ribosomal RNA, 459 nt
Filed under: uncultured bacterium
Lineage: Bacteria
Description: partial 16S ribosomal RNA
Rfam family: Bacterial small subunit ribosomal RNA
Source: RNAcentral